Molecule: long non-coding RNA, 8627 nt
Filed under: Homo sapiens (human)
Lineage: Eukaryota; Metazoa; Chordata; Mammalia; Primates; Hominidae
Description: HSALNT0370374
Source: RNAcentral
GCCGCUUUCGUGCGUCUUGAUGCAGAUGGUCCGUCCGCUGCGCCAGUGGUCCCGCUCACCUUUAAACCCUUCCCGCAGCCAGAGUCUCUGCCUCCCUCCUGUGUCUCACCCUGAGAAAGACAUGCCCCCUGGCUCUCCCUGAGCUAGGGUUAGCGGAUGACUCUCUAUCAGCACCAAGCUGUGCCUGGUUAGUGCCUGGCACCCAGACCAGAGUACCCAGAGCCAACUUUUAUUGACGACGUUGAAUGCGGCCCAACACAAAUUCCGUGGCCCAGGGAAGACAAAAGAUGAGACACCCCUGCUUUGAAACAACCUCAUGAGGUGUGAGGUCCAGACAGGGGACUUCAUCUCUCUGAGCUGCCAUCUUCUCUCUAUAAAGUUAAGUCAACCAUAGAAUGCCCCUCCCAGAGGUGUGGGGAGGAUUCGAUGAGACAAUCCACAGGGCUGGCUAUCACGACUUCAUCCCCCUUUAUUUUAUGUGACACCUCUCUAAGCCUCAGUUUCCCCAUCUGUUAAAUGUGGUGGACGACCUCUACUCUGCCUCCCCCCCAGGGCUGGCAUGAGUUUCCACAGGGAGGAGGCUGAGAGGCCCCCUUUGUGGGAGUGGCAGCAUUUGGUUACUGCAGUUCAUGUUUCCAGCAGGAGCCUCAAAGUGUCUAAACACAGACUAUUUUUAGCACCAGAAUGAGGCUCUGGUGUUGAGCUGCCAACUUGAAGAUGGGUGGGGAAGAGCUGCCUGCAGGGGAAAGAAAAACAGAGGCAUAGCCUGCCCUGUGGUUCCUUACCUCCCCUGGGAGUAAAAUUAUGCCUCCCCCUUCCAGGUUCUAUUGGCUAGGGUAGGCCAGAAUGGAAGCCUGUGAGGCUGGGUAGGGGGCUGACUCCCUCUCUGUAAUCCCCAGCACCUGACUUGGGGGGCAGAGGCAGUUCGGAGGGACUGGGCAGGCCCAGCGACCAACUGACCCCCAGACCACCCAAGCUUCACCGAGAAAUAGCUAUUGAGAAAUCAGGUUCAUGAAGGUUUGAUUUCUUAAGAGUUCUGGGUAGGAGACCCAUCUGGGAAGUUUCCAAGAAACUGGGGAGCCCAGGUAAAAUUUCAGUCUUGUUCUAAUAAUAAAAAUAUCAGAAGUCACUGGUGUUUGUUGAGCGCAUACUAUAUGCCAGUCAUCUUAUUCCCAUUGUGCCUUUUAAUCCCCACUAUCAUUCUUUGAGGUGGUCAUUAACUUCUUUGAACAUCAGUUUCCCCAUCUAUAGAGUGAUGAUGUAAUAUAAUUUAUCUCUUAGGGUUAGCGUGAGAACUAAAUAAGUCAAUAUAUACAAAUAUAUCAUAUCUAUAUGUAUUAGGUGCAAAUGCUACAUCUUAUAAUAAUUUCUGGAGAAUACAUGUGGUUUUGCCUGUUCAGUGCCCCUUCAUUCUGAUACAAGGACUCUAUUUUCCUUCACGGAAUUUCUCCCUCAUUAAUUCUCAGCUCAUGUGGCUUGGAUAGAAUGGAUUCCUCUUGCCAGUUGCUGCAGACAUUCCUAUACCUCCCUCCUGAUGCAUGUAUAUAAUAAUUAAUGUAGAGUGCAUGUAUACCUAGGAGUGAAAGCGCUAGUUUUUGUCUGUUUGUUUUUGUUUUUGUAUGAGCAUCUUAUGAUUAUCCUAAAAGAUGCCAGUUUUUUUCCAAGGUUGCUGUAGUCACAACUUCCCCAGUACAGUUUGAGCAUUCCUGCUGCUCCAAAUCCACACCAACACUUAAUGUUGUCAGUCCUUUCCUUUUUGGUCAGUUUGGUAGAUCUGUAACAGAUGCCAUAUGUGCCCCACCCACAGAGUUAAAUUCUGAAUGUUCAUCUGGUUGUCUGAGGGGUUUCUCCAGCACCUUGAAUGCUUUUUGUGCUUGUGUGGUUGGCAGGCAAGACAUGCUAGAAUAUUAACAUUUGGAAGCAGCUGCAAAUAUGACUGAUGGGAGUUGGUGUAUAAAUGCCCCAGCUCCCUUGCUCCUCAGCUGGAAUAACUCUGCAGUGUGUAUUUCUCCAGUGGGACUUAGCCUCAACCACCCUCUGUAACAGAUGACUCAAUAAUACACCCUUUAUUGAUUUCUUCCCUUCCCUGUCUCACUUCCCCGCUCAGGGAAGGACAGGAGUAAGUAUACUCUUUAUUUCCUAAAUGAACUACUUAUCAGUGGUAUUCAUUUCUUGGAAUAGUUGAUUCCUUAGAAUAGGAAUCAAUAUGGUUGAUUCAUAUCAUAUCAAUGGUUUUUCAACCUUUUCCUUAUCAUAGACAUGUAAAAUAUUUCCAGUCUUCCCUCUUUUAUAAAUAAGUAACGCUAUGAUAAACAUCCUGUAUGUAAAUCUUUAUACAGAUCCCCGGAAAGCAAUAUAGGACCUUUCAACAAUGAUGAGACAUCGGCAUAUUAUACCCACUUUACAGAUGAGAAAGCUAAAGUUCACAGAGAUUAAGUAACUUGCCCAGACACACAAAAAGUGGAGCAUGAAUUCAAGUGCAAAACUGAGCCUCAGUGUCAUGAUGCCAUGGCGGACACUAUGCAGACCAGCAAGGCAGCUAUUCCCUGUCUUAACCACUAAUCCCUCAGUUGAAUCCAAGCCUUGAUGAAAGGAACCUUUCUGAGCCUGAAGAUAUGGAUGGCCAUGCCUCGAACACUUCUCAGGUAGAUAACCCCCAAUUCCUUUAAUCAAAGUUCUUUCUCACCCUUCUUGGUGGUGGACCAGCCAUUUGGCAAGUGAAAGACUUAAUGAAACAGCUUGAGAAGAAAUGCCAUUAUAAAUGCCAAAUCCUUUCCCUCAUUGUCUUAGGAAUCCAGAAUUUUAGUAACCCAGCUAACCCUAGGGAAGGCUUUUGCACCCCGUACAGUGGGUGGACCCUCUCUGGGACACACCCUUCCAUUCAUUGGUGUGCUGUAGUUUAAUGAUUCCAUCGUGCUCAUGAUGGAUAUAUUGUGGUUCUGCAGAUCUUUGAUGCAACAAUUCUGCAGAAUCUUUGACACAACAAUCCCACUUUUUUGACCAGGAAGCAUGUACACACCAGGAAAGCUUCACCAGGUUCCUAGGCACACCCGUAUGUUGCCCCCUACACUUGCUCACCCCACCUCCAGAAAGAAUCCCCUGGGUCCCCACACUUCCCUCUGUUCCCAGGAAGGAAACUCACUCAGCACUACCCUACGCUCACAGCCUGCCAACCAUGUCCAUUUUCAUUUAUCUUCCCCAAAACUCAAGAAAAUAAAUGAGAAGGCAAAGUGCCAUUAGCUUAAUGGCCUUUAACACCCAGCCAUCUGCCAUGAUGUAAUUAAAUAAAAAAAUCAGAGGGAGCAUAUGGUGUCCGUUAUAAAUAAAUAUUAAAAUUUUGUUUAUCUGGGUAAUGACUCUAGUGCCUCUUGCUCCAUGGGCAAUCUUUACAGCCAUCUUCGCUUGUUGCAGGGUCAGGGUGGGCCACUAUGGACAGGAAUGGCCACGGAGAGGAAACGUGGAAAGGGGUCAGGGCCAGAGUCACACACUCCUGCAUCUGAACCUGCCUCAGGGCGGUGGUGGCUGUGUGAUCUUCAGCAAGGGGCCUCUCUGUGACUCAGUUUUCUCACCUGCAAAAUAGAGCCAAUCCACCCUGCCUCAUUGGAAAGCAAGUGACAGAGCUACAAGAAAGCCUGGAGAUCCAACACCUAGCGAAACAGCCUUCCUUUACAUAAGGGGAAACUGAGGCUUGGAGAAACUUGAAUGAAAUAACCUCUGUCCAUAUAAAAUGUCUCGCAUAGACCUGGACCCAAGUAAGUGCUCAAUACUUUUUAGCUAUUACCAAGAUUAUGAUUAUGAUACCAUAGAAUCCUAGAGUUCAAAGGGCCCUUAGACACCAGCUAGUUCAAGUCUGAUGUUUUACAGAUGAGGAACCCGGGGGCUCAGAGAGGCUGGAGGAGUGGUCCAGAGUCACACAGCCAGGCCAGGGCUGAGCUGGUUCCUGCCCUGCAGGUUUCUUCCCAGAGCACACGCUGCUCCCUGGCAGCCCCCAUUGCUCCCAGCCGCAAACACGAGCAAAUUGCCAUUUGCUGGUUCCACACUGACCACGGUGGAUUGAACUCUAAUUUAGGAACGGUGACAGCACCUAUUAGCAACCCUUCCCCAAAGAGGAACUUUCCACCAGGAGUGAAAAAUAACUGCCAUCCCCACCCCCAAAUCACCCAAGCCCAAUCUUUCUGUCCAAGGCAGUGUGUGUGUGUUUGGGGGGUGGUGGUGGAGAGGUGGUCUCUGUGCUCCCCAGCCCACCUCUACAGGUUCAAAUUCUCUUCCCCUGUCCCGGAGAACCUUGUGCCCUUGGAGGGGUUGCCAGCACCUACUGCCAGCUCUGAGCAGGACUGAGAGGUGGGCUCACAGCCAUCAAAGCAGGAGGGAGGACUGUUCAUAACCUCCAGGUCAGCUUCCUCACAGACAUAUGGGGUAACUGAGGCCUAAAGGGGAGGUGGAGGGUGACUCUACCCAGACCCAGUUUUCCUGCAUCCCAGCCUUCAGCCUUGGCACCCUCCUGAGAAAGAAGAAAAAUGGAUAAACACCUUUUGUUGCACAAUUACUAUGUGCCAGGCCCUUCCAUGUACCCUGUGCCAUUGCCUCUCCCCAGGGGCUCUGCUUGGUAGGUUGGGUUUAAUCUCACUUUACAGAUGAGACAACCAAGGCCUGGAGAGGUCAGUCAACUUGCCAAAGGGCAGAGCUGGUGAGUGGCAGAACAAGACUCAACCCAGGCCUGUCUGACUCCAGACCCUUAAUCCUAACCUCUAUGUGACAUUGUUUUCUGUGGAAGUGCCACCCUCUGACCUCUGACCUCGGGGCCUCCUCUCUGUGGGGCAAGUGGAGUGAUUUGGAGGCUUUCUGUACAAGACAGCCUUUCUCCUCUGAAUGCUCAGAGCCCGCUCAGAAGGCACAGGGGUUCCCAAGCCUUUAGUGGCCCAAGGAGUUCUGCUGGCAUCCAACAGAGAGAUGUCCCUUCAUAUGCAAGCAACAAGUGCCAGAAACUGACUGACCAUUCUAUCCAUGAAGACAUCACUUGGACACCAUCGUACCACAGAGAAGGUGCCAGGAGGCCACACAGAGGUGCAGAGAUUCAUGCAUGCUGAACAUGUGCACAGCCCCAUGGCUGUCAUCCCCCUCACCCCCAGCACAUACACAGAGUUAACCAGCCCUAUCAGGCCAUACCCAUUUAUAACACAUGGCAGGAAUCCUUAUUCCCACUUCAUGAGUGAGAAACAGCAGACACCAUGGGACCUGCCUGAGAUACAUGGUUAGUCUUGGAGCUAAAACUAGAAACUGGAUCUUCUCAUUUUGACCAAAGGUGGUUUCUUCAUCCCCUGGAAUUGUCAAAAGAAUAAAGAAGCACCUGUCUUGAAAAGUCACGACCAGAGUUUCUCAUCAUCAGUGACACUGGCACUUUGGACUGGAUAAUUUGUUGAGGAGAGCUGUUCUGUGCAUUGUAGGGUGGUUGAUAGCAUCCCUGGCCUGCACCUAAUGGAAGAGAGAACCAGAACACUGCCUGUGGACCCAUCUGAAUCCAGGCUUACAAAGUUUUGGUGCCAGAUUCUAGAGCUCCUUUCUAAGAUUUUUAUCCUAGCUCUCCAUCAUAAGAUCCUAUUGUGAGGUUCCACGCUAGGAUCCCCAACUUCUAGCACUCUAUGCUGGGAUACUAGGGUCCGUUCUGUGCAAGGAAAAAAAAAAACUAUAUUAAAAGGAGGAAAAAGUUAUGCUGGAAGCUAAGUCAGGCAAGAAACUGCCUCUCCUUUUGUUCUUAAGCAGAUAGCUACAGAUAAAAGGUGAAAUAUCUCCACAGGUAGCUACUUGAUGUUCACCUUAUCUUAUGUAAAGUGCUGAUUUACUGAGAGGGAAACAAAUAACGUAAUUGACUACUCCUCUACCUGCUCCUUUUCUCUUGCAACCUGUGGGUUUAGUAACGUGACCAUACCUUCUUUCCCCUCCAGCUUGCUUUUCUCCUUUAAAUACUGAAGCCCUCAAAGUCAUCUCUGGAGAAAUGCACAGACCUCUCUCCUGGGCAUAUCCUUAACCUUGGCAAAAUGAACUUCUAAACUGAUUGAGACCUGUCUCAGAUAGUUUUUGGUUUAGUUUCAAUGUUGGUGGGCUCUCCAAUUGUGAAAUUUUUUUCUAAGCUCCUAAGAUCUCAUCUCCCAUGUCAAAGUUGAAAUUCUCUCCGGGAGACAGUCAUGCCUCGCUGCCUUCCAGUGACCAGGAUGAAAGAUGCACCCAUGAAUUAUAUAUUUCAAGUCAUCUCUAAAUUGCCUGGCAAUUACAGAACAGCAAGGUCAGCUGCCGGGAGCAAGAAUCUCCCUUUUGGCAGAGAAAAACAGAUGGAUGGAAACACAACGAUAUACAGAAAGAUGUUACCUCUUGGAGGGGGGGUGUUUUUCAGAUGCUGGUCACCAUAGAUGCUGGUCACCACCAUGCCCUUUCAUAAGUGUCCUUACAAAAGGAGGAAAUCAGGACAGAUACAUCCAGAGGGAAGACGCUAUGAAGACACAGAGAAGAGGGCCAUCUAUGCCAAGGAGAGGGGUAGGAAGCAAAUUCUUCCCACACACACCUCGGAGGAACCAACCCUGCUGACACCUUAAUUUUGGACUUCCAGCUUCCAGAACUGUGAGAUAAUAAAUUUUAGUUGUUUAAGCUACUCAGCAUGUGGUGUUUUGUUACAGCAACCCUAGCAAACUGAUACACCAGUGCUCUGCAUAGGACCUCAACAUUUCCUUUUCCUUUUUUUUUAAUGAGAGAGAAUUCAUAUGUGGCAUGGUAAAAACAAGUGCGCAGGAAUUUCACAUAUGUACACACCCAGGUGACCCACCCAGAUCAAGACUCUGAACAUUCCCCUGGCUCCUAGAGGCUCUCCACUGUCCCCUCUCAGCGAAUCACCCUCCCCAGGGGCCAUCACUUUUCUAACUUCUAUCACCAUAGGUUAGCUUUGUACAUUCUUGAGCCUCUUAUUAUUAUUUUAGAAAUGGGGCCUCACUAUUUGCCCAGGCUGGUCUUGAACUCCUGAGCUCAAGUGUGAUCCUCCCAUCCCAGCAUCCCAAAGUGCUGAGAUUACAGGUGUGAGCCACCACGCCCAGCUGUUGAGCCUCAUAAAUGGCUGAACAAUGUUGAACAAAGGAAGCUGGCCCCUUACAUUUAAACUCAUUUGUGCCAUAUAAAAACCCCUUGAGACAGGCACUAUAAUUAUCUUCAUUUUACAGGUGUAGAAUCAGAGGCCCAGAGAGCUUCAGUAACUUGUUCAAGGUCACACAGCUAGGGUGUAGGAGGCAGAGCCAGGAUUUGACUGGGUAAGUCUGGCUGCACUCACUAUACUUACUGCUUUUAAAUACACAGCAAGUGCCCAGUAACUAUAAUCACGGCGACUUCUAACAAGCAGGGGCUCUCACUCUGGGCCAGGCACCAUGCCAGCUCUCUCCACAUUACUUCAUCUAACUCGCACACCAGUCCUAUUUAGUAUUUUUAAAAUAUAUCUAUAUAAAAUAAUACACAUAAUAUAUAUUACACAUAUAUACAUACUAAAUUUUCUAUACCUCAUAAUAUUACCAGUGAGAAACACUAAUACAAGCCCCAUUUAACAGAGGAGUAAACUGAGGCUCAGAGCAUUGAAUAAUGGAUGCAAGGUCAUAGACUCAGCAAGAGGCAGAGCUGGGAUGGCUUGCAGAACUCGUGCUUAUAACUACUGACAUCAGCUGCCUCCUGCCAGCUGCUGCUAAGAGCAGCACCAGGACCACAGAACUCAACAACCUGUGCUUUAAUUAAAAUCACAAUGAGAUGCCACCACACACCUGAUUUUUUCCAGUCACUUCUAAUCGCUUUCACGUGGGCUGUUCUAAUCGUCUAGACAGGAGGUUUUUAAAUUCCAGUACACACACAUUGUACUGGAAUGGCUCAAAUAAAAAAAAACAAAAACAAAAAACAAAAACUAAUCCCAAGUGCUGGAGAGGAUGUGGAGCAACUGGAACUCCCAUCCAUCCAUGGUAGGAAUGUGAAAAGGUAUACUGCCACUUUGGAAAACAGUUUGACCAUUUCUUAAAAAGUUAAAUGUCCACUCCUAGGUAUUUGCCCAAGAGAAAUGAAAACCCAUGCUCAGGCAAAAAUCUGCAUGCAAAUAUUUAUAGCAACUUUAUUUGUAAUUGCCAAAAAUGAAAGCAAACAAAUGGUGAAUGAACAAACUGUGGUGCCUCCAUACAACGGAGUACUACUCAGCCAUGAAAAGGAAUCAGCUACUGAUGACACAACAGCACUGAUAAACCUCAAAGGCAUCAUGCAUUAUGCCGAGUGAAAGAAGCCAGACUCAAAGGCUAUUAUGAUUCCAUUUAUAUGACACUCUGGUAAUGGCAGAAAAGAAAGACAACACAAAACAGAUAGUGGUUGUCAGGGGCGAGAGAUGAAAGAGGGAUUGACCACAGAGGGGCAAAGAGGAAUUGAGGGUGAUGGAACAUUUGUUCAUCUUGAUUGCAGUAGAGGUUAUAUGGUUGUACACAUUUGUCAAAACUUGCCAAACUGUACACUAAAAUGGGUGCAUUUUACUGUAGGUAAACGAUACUCAAUACAAAACAUUAAAGAAAAUAUAACAAUAGGCCGGGCGUGGUGGCUCGCGCCUGUAAUCCCAGCACUUUGGGAGG